This is a long non-coding RNA of Lontra canadensis (Northern American river otter), 205 nucleotides long. RefSeq lists it as uncharacterized. The record is from RefSeq and is a predicted model, not a curated record. NCBI's taxonomy places the organism in Eukaryota, Metazoa, Chordata, Mammalia, Carnivora, Mustelidae. The transcript has 2 exons.
AGCUUUCUUGCUGGAGCUGGCAGUGGAAAGCACACAGACAAGGUCUAAUUACGUAGAAUGACUGCCAAGCAGCAGGUUAAUCACAGAAGAUAACACCCAUGGAAAAAAGGAGAUGUGCUUGUGGAGUGGAAGAGCAAGCAGAAUCAUCUGCACUAUUCAAUUUGUAAUCUUUCUUCCGUGGUUAUGUAAUUGAUUCUAAACUGUA